GCAGUAGCCGCGGUAAUACGGAGGGGGCUAGCGUUGUUCGGAAUUACUGGGCGUAAGGCGCACGUAGGCGGCUUGGUAAGUUAGAGGUGAAAGCCCGGAGCUCAACUCCGGAAUUGCCUUUAAGACUGCCGAGCUAGUAGGUGAUAGAGGUAAGUGGAAUUCUGAGUGUAGAGGUGAAAUUCGUAGAUAUUCGGAAGAACACCAGUGGCGAAGGCGGCUCACUGGACGCGUAUUGACGCUGAGGUGCGAAAGCGUGGGGAGCAAACAGGAUUAGAUACCCCCGUAGUCCCUGUCUCUUAUAC
RNAcentral lists this ribosomal RNA (302 nucleotides) under uncultured bacterium. RNAcentral's name for it is "partial 16S ribosomal RNA". It matches the Rfam family "Bacterial small subunit ribosomal RNA", at positions 508 to 807 of the family's 1533-position model. The record is from RNAcentral.